AUACGGAGGGUGCAAGCGUUGUUCGGAAUCACUGGGCGUAAAGGGCGCGCAGGCGGUUUGGUAAGUCAGAUGUGAAAGCCCACGGCUCAACCGUGGAAGUGCAUUUGAAACUGUCAGACUUGAGUACUAGAGGGGAAAGUGGAAUUCCCGGUGUAGAGGUGAAAUUCGUAGAUAUCGGGAGGAAUACCGGUGGCGAAGGCGACUUUCUGGCUAGAUACUGACGCUGAGGCGCGAAAGCGUGGGGAGCAAACAGGAUUAGAAACCCGGGUAGUCC
RNAcentral lists this ribosomal RNA (274 nucleotides) under uncultured bacterium. Its description in RNAcentral is "partial 16S ribosomal RNA". It matches the Rfam family "Bacterial small subunit ribosomal RNA", at positions 523 to 796 of the family's 1533-position model. The record is from RNAcentral.